AGUGAACGCUGGCGGUAGGCCUAACACAUGCAAGUCGAACGGCAGCACAGUAAGAGCUUGCUCUUACGGGUGGCGAGUGGCGGACGGGUGAGGAAUACAUCGGAGUCUACUUUUUCGUGGGGGAUAACGUAGGGAAACUUACGCUAAUACCGCAUACGACCUACGGGUGAAAGCAGGGGAUCUUCGGACCUUGCGCGAUUGAAUGAGCCGAUGUCGGAUUAGCUAGUUGGCGGGGUAAAGGCCCACCAAGGCGACGAUCCGUAGCUGGUCUGAGAGGAUGAUCAGCCACAAUGGAACUGAGACAAGGUCCAGAAUCCUAAGGGAGGCAGCAGUGGGGAAUAUUGGACAAUGGGCGCAAGCCUGAUCCAGCCAUAACGCGUGGGUGAAGAAGGCCUUCGGGUUGUAAAGCCCUUUUGUUGGGAAAGAAAAGCAGCAGGUUAAUACCCCGCUGUUCUGACGGUACCCAAAGAAUAAGCACCGGCUAACUUCGUG
RNAcentral lists this ribosomal RNA (492 nucleotides) under uncultured bacterium. RNAcentral's name for it is "partial 16S ribosomal RNA". It matches the Rfam family "Bacterial small subunit ribosomal RNA", at positions 29 to 507 of the family's 1533-position model. The record is from RNAcentral.